This 274-nucleotide ribosomal RNA is filed under the name uncultured bacterium. RNAcentral describes it as "partial 16S ribosomal RNA". It matches the Rfam family "Bacterial small subunit ribosomal RNA", at positions 523 to 796 of the family's 1533-position model. The record is from RNAcentral.
AUACGAUGGGGGCUAGCGUUGUUCGGAAUUACUGGGCGUAAAGCGCGCGUAGGCGGACUGAUCAGUUGGGGGUGAAAUCCCAGGACUUAACCCUGGAACUGCCUCCAAUACUGUCAGUCUUGAGUUCGGGAGAGGUGAGUGGAAUUCCUAGUGUAGAGGUGAAAUUCGUAGAUAUUAGGAAGAACACCAGUGGCGAAGGCGGCUCACUGGCCCGAUACUGACGCUGAGGCGCGAAAGCGUGGGGAGCAAACAGGAUUAGAAACCCUUGUAGUCC